This 2989-nucleotide ribosomal RNA is filed under the name Acidobacteriota bacterium. Its description in RNAcentral is "bacterial LSU rRNA". It matches the Rfam family "Bacterial large subunit ribosomal RNA". Lineage: Bacteria; Pseudomonadati; Acidobacteriota. The record is from RNAcentral.
GUAAGUUUUAUGGUCAAGCUACUAAGGGCGUACGGUGGAUGCCUUGGCGCCAGAAGGCGAUGAAGGACGUGGCAAGCUGCGAUAAGCCUCGGGGAGCCGCAAGCAGGCUUUGAUCCGGGGAUUUCCGAAUGGGGAAACCCAUCCCGAUGAACUCGGGAUACGGCCCGCUGAAUCCAUAGGCGGGUGCGAGCGAACCCAGGGAAGUGAACCAUCUCAGUACCUGGAGGAAAAUAAAUCAACCGAGAUUCCGAGAGUAGCGGCGAGCGAAAUCGGAACAGCCCAAACCCCGAUUCUUUGAAUCGGGGGGUUGUAGGACCGCGUGAGUAGAGUUACCAAUCCGGAAGCUAGGUGAAUCUGCUGGAAAGCAGGGCCAUAGAGUGUGAGAGCCACGUAACCAAAAGCUUACCGGACUCGAAGCGGGAUCCUGAGUACCACGGGACACGGGAAAUCCCGUGGGAAACUGGGGAGACCACUCUCCAAGGCUAAAUACUCUCUGGCGACCGAUAGUGAACUAGUACCGCGAGGGAAAGGUGAAAAGCACCCCUGCGAGGGGAGUGAAAUAGAACCUGAAACCGUAUGCUUACAAGCAGUCGGAGGGCUAUCCCGACUUCGGUCGGGACGCCUGACGGCGUGCCUCUUGCUUAAUGAGCCGGCUAGUUAUUCUCACAGGCGAGGUUAAGCGUUAGCGAGCCGUAGCGAAAGCGAGUCCGAAUAGGGCGUAUAGUCUGUGGGAAUAGACGCGAAGCGGGAUGAUCUACCCUUGGCCAGGUUGAAGGCCGCUUAACCGCGGCUGGAGGACCGAACCGGUGUUGGUUGAAAACAGCUCGGAUGAGCUGAGGGUAGGGGUGAAAGGCUAAUCAAAUUCCGUGAUAGCUCGUUCUCCCCGAAAUGCCUUUAGGGGCAGCCUCGUGUGGUCUGCCGCGGUGGUAGAGCACUGGAUGGACUAGGGACCAACCAAGGUUACCGAAUCCAACCAAACUGCGAAUGCCGCGGACAGCAGCACGGGAGUGAGACUACGAGGGAUAAGCUUCGUGGUCGAGAGGGAAAGAACCCAGACCGACAGCUAAGGUCCCGGACUGCAGGCUAAGUGGGAAAGGACGUGUGAUCGCUCGGACAGCCAGGAGGUUGGCUUAGAAGCAGCCAUCCUUUAAAGAAAGCGUAACAGCUCACUGGUCAAGCGAUCAUGCACCGACAAUCCAACGGGGCUUAAGCCUGCGACCGAAGCUUCGGAAUGUGCGACGGCGAAAGCCGCUGCACUUUGGUAGGGGAGCAUUGUGUGGAGUCUUAAGGCGGACCGAGAGGACUGCUGAACGCCACGCAAGAGACCCUGCCGGCAUAAGUAGCGAUAAACACGAUGAGAACUCGUGUCGCCGAAAGUCUAAGGUUUCCUGAGGAAGGUUAAUCCGCUCAGGGUUAGGCGGGACCUAAGGUGAGGCCGAGAGGCGUAGCCGAUGGACAGCAGGUCAACAUUCCUGCCCCACCUAGCGGGCGUUAUCACGAUGGGGUGACGCAGAAGGAUACAGGAGUCGGGCGAUGGAAAUCCCGAUGGGUCUGUGUAAGCCGGAUCCCGCAGGAAAAUCCACGGGGUCAUUCAACGGUGAGACAGGUCCCGAGGCCGCACGGCCACAAAGUCCUGGAUUUCACGCUGCCAGGAAAAACCUCUAAGGAGUCCGCUGGGUGCCCGUACCACAAACCGACACAGGUAGACGAGGACAAUCUCCACAGGCGCUCGAGAGAACACUCGCUCAGGAACUAGGCACAUUAGCCCCGUAACUUCGGGAGAAGGGGUGCCCCGGUAGGGUUGAUAGCCCGAGGGGGCCGCAGUGAAACGCGCUCUGCGACUGUUUAACAAAAACACAGCUCUCUGCAAAGUCGAAUACGACGUAUAGGGGGUGACGCCUGCCCGGUGCCGGAAGGUUAAAGCAAGGGCUUAGCCUCAAGCAAUUGGGACGAAGGCCCGAACUGAAGCCCCGGUGAACGGCGGCCGUAACUAUAACGGUCCUAAGGUAGCGAAAUUCCUUGUCGGGUAAGUUCCGACCUGCACGAAUGGCGUAACGACAGAGCGACUGUCUUGGCGAGUGACUCGGCGAAUUUGUGGUUCCGGUGAAGACGCCGGAUGCCCGCACCUAGACGGAAAGACCCCGUGCACCUUUACUGCACUCUGGCCAUGAUUAACGGGACGGUCUGCGUAGCAUAGGUGGGAGCCUGGGAACCCCUGGUUUCGGCUGGGGGGGAGGCGCCAGUGAAAUACCACCCUGAUCGUUCUGUCGCUCUAACCUACGGCCCGCGACGGGUCGGGGGACACGGCCAGACGGGUAGUUUGACUGGGGCGGUCGCCUCCUAAACGGUAACGGAGGCGCCCAAAGCUCGGCUCAAGCGGAUUGGAAACCCGCUGCGGAGUGCAAGAGCAUAAGCCGGGUUAACUGCGAGACACACAGGUCGAGCAGGAGCGAAAGCUGGGUCUAGUGAUCCGGUGGUCCCGCGUGGAAGGGCCAUCGCUCAACGGAUAAAAGGUACGCCGGGGAUAACAGGCUGAUCUAAGCCAAGAGUUCACAUCGACGCUUAGGUUUGGCACCUCGAUGUCGGCUCAUCGCAUCCUGGGGCUGUAGAAGGUCCCAAGGGUUAGGCUGUUCGCCUAUUAAAGCGGUACGUGAGCUGGGUUCAGAACGUCGCGAGACAGUUCGGUCCCUAUCUGGUGUGGGCGCAGGAGACUUGAGAGGAGCUGUCCCUAGUACGAGAGGACCGGGAUGGACGGACCUCUUGUGAUCGAGCUGUCCCGCCAGGGGCAUCGCUCGGUAGCGAAGUCCGGAAGAGAUAAUUGCUGAAUGCAUCUAAGCAAGAAGCUCGCCUCAAGAUAAGGUCUCCCAAUGCCGCUUCGGCGGCAUAAGAAGGCCGGUCGAAGACUACGACCUUGAUAGGCGGGAGGUGGAAGCGCAGUAAUGCGUGCAGCUGACCCGUACUAAUCGGCCGUUCGGCUUGACCAUAAAAC